GGUCUCGUUAGGUGAACCUGCGGAGGGAUCAUUACACAAAUAUGAAGGCGGGCUGGAACCUCUCGGGGUUACAGCCUUGCUGAAUUAUUCACCCUUGUCUUUUGCGUACUUCUUGUUUCCUUGGUGGGUUCGCCCACCACUAGGACAAACAUAAACCUUUUGUAAUUGCAAUCAGCGUCAGUAACAAAUUAAUAAUUACAACUUUCAACAACGGAUCUCUUGGUUCUGGCAUCGAUGAAGAACGCAGCGAAAUGCGAUAAGUAGUGUGAAUUGCAGAAUUCAGUGAAUCAUCGAAUCUUUGAACGCACAUUGCGCCCUUUGGUAUUCCAAAGGGCAUGCCUGUUCGAGCGUCAUUUGUACCCUCAAGCUUUGCUUGGUGUUGGGCGUCUUGUCUCUAGCUUUGCUGGAGACUCGCCUUAAAGUAAUUGGCAGCCGGCCUACUGGUUUCGGAGCGCAGCACAAGUCGCACUCUCUAUCAGCAAAGGUCUAGCAUCCAUUAAGCCUUUUUUUCAACUUUUGACCUCGGAUCAGGUAGGGAUACCCGCUGAACUUAAGCAU
Molecule: ribosomal RNA, 558 nt
Filed under: fungal sp. 51602
Lineage: Eukaryota; Fungi
Description: eukaryotic LSU rRNA
Rfam family: 5.8S ribosomal RNA (bases 200-353)
Source: RNAcentral